RNAcentral lists this ribosomal RNA (861 nucleotides) under uncultured bacterium. RNAcentral's name for it is "bacterial SSU rRNA". It matches the Rfam family "Bacterial small subunit ribosomal RNA", at positions 28 to 886 of the family's 1533-position model. The record is from RNAcentral.
GAUGAACGCUAGCGGCAGGCUUAAUACAUGCAAGUCGUACGGGAUCCGAAGUAGCAAUACUUUGGUGAGAGUGGCGCACGGGUGCGUAACACGUAUGCAACCUACCUUUAACCGGGACACAACCUCGAGAAAUUGUGGCUAAUAUCCCAUAACACUGCGAAGUGGCAUCACUUUGCAGUUAAAACUCCGGUGGUUAUUGAUGGGCAUGCGCGACAUUAGCUAGUUGGUGAGGUAACGGCCCACCAAGGCUACGAUGUCUAGGGGUUCUGAGAGGAUUAUCCCCCACACUGGUACUGAGACACGGACCAGACUCCUACGGGAGGCAGCAGUAAGGAAUAUUGGUCAAUGGGCGCAAGCCUGAACCAGCCAUGCCGCGUGAAGGAUGACGGCCCUAUGGGUUGUAAACUUCUUUUGUACGGGAAAAAACCACCGGUCGUGUAUCGGUGCUGAUGGUACCGUAAGAAUAAGCAUCGGCUAACUCCGUGCCAGCAGCCGCGGUAAUACGGAGGAUGCAAGCGUUAUCCGGAUUCAUUGGGUUUAAAGGGUGCGCAGGCGGAGUGAUAAGUCAGUGGUGAAAGCCUACAGCUUAACUGUAGAACUGCCAUUGAUACUGUCAUUCUUGAGUAUUGUUGAGGUAGGCGGAAUGUGUCAUGUAGCGGUGAAAUGCUUAGAUAUGACACAGAACACCGAUCGCGAAGGCAGCUUACCAAGCAAUAACUGACGCUCAUGCACGAAAGCGUGGGGAUCAAACAGGAUUAGAUACCCUGGUAGUCCACGCCGUAAACGAUGAUCACUCGAUGUUGGCGAUACACAGUCAGCGUCUUAGGGAAACUAUUAAGUGAUCCACCUGGGGAGUACGGC